This 1580-nucleotide unclassified non-coding RNA is filed under the name Hevea brasiliensis (rubber tree). Lineage: Eukaryota; Viridiplantae; Streptophyta; Magnoliopsida; Malpighiales; Euphorbiaceae. The record is from RNAcentral.
GUUGGUUAGGUUGUUGUAAGAAACUGACAGGAAAGACAAAGAUUCUAGUGCUUGUAUGUCUGGUAAAAUCUGUCCCUCCAGCUGAUUAUAGGCAAGUCUAACUGCUUUUAGUGAUUUACAUGCAUAAAGGCUAGUGGGCAACCUACCUGUGAAGUUAUUGUUGCCGAGAUCAAGGAUGCUAAGUUGUUGAAGUCUGGAGAAAUUAUACGCAGAGAGUUCCCCUACCAAGAAAUUGACCCGCAAAUUCAAUGUCACUAGUUUGGUACAAUUCAUCAGAGAUGGAGGUAGAGAACCUGUGAGAUUGUUGAUGUGAAGCUGCAACUGUUCCAAUUUGGAGAGCUUGCCAAUAUCUCGGGGUAUAGACCCUAUCAAUUGAUUGGAGUAGAGAUCAAGAACCCUGAGGUUGCUGAGAUUGGCCAGAGAAUCACUGAUGGUGCCAGACAGGUUGUUGAGAGGUAAGGAGAGUUGUUCAAGCAAGACAACGUUGUAAAUAUCAUCAGGAAUUGUCCCUGAGAGAUUAUUAAAACCCGCAGAAAAAUUCCUAAGAUUGGAACAUUGCCCUAUUCCAGAGGGAAUACUGCCACUGAAAUCGUUGUAGGAGAAGUCUAGUGCUGUGAUGGACAGAAAAGAAACAAUGCAGAUGUUGGAUGGAAUUUGGCCUGUGAAGCUAUUGUUGCUAACAUUGAAGCUACUCAAAUUCCUAGCAAACUGGAGGAAUGAGUUGGAUGGAAUUACCCCACUGAAGCGGUUGCUAGACAAAUCCACUAUCCGGAUGGCGAUGUUGGCGGUGCUAUUAUCAUUGGAUGGUAAUUCCCCAAGUAGCCUAUUGUAGCUCAGAUCAAGAAUCUGGAGAUUAUCAAGAGAAGAGAAGAAUCCAGCAGGGAGAGUACCGAAGAGGCGAUUAUGGGAGAGAUUGAGUUGAGAUAGAUAAGUGAGAUUAGCAAGAGAAGGAGAGAGGACGCCACUGAGGCCCUUAAAGGGGAGCCACAGACGAGUGACGCGACCUGUUCCGCCACACUCAAUUCCUUCCCAGAGACAGCAAUCAAUGGAAGGUGACCAUUUCAAAGGAGAAGAUGAUAUAUUGGAGAAGAAGGGCAAGAGAGAAUCAUAAUCAUGUUGAUUGCAGGCAGCUGAAGCAUGGCAAGAAGGCAGUGACAGCACUAAUAUUACUGCCAGAACCAACAAGACCAUGACUGAGGAGGAGGAAGAAGGUCCUCUUGAUUCUCCUGGUCUUGGUACUUUUAAAUAACCCAAGCAAGCAAAGGCAACGAAGUUGUUGUCUUUAACACAAAUCAUGACCGUCCCCAUCAUCACUGGGACAAAAGAAGAAUGGCAAGAACGGGGAAUAAGGAAGAGUAAGAAGAGAAAAAGAAGACAAAGUACAAGAUUAUCUGGUCUCUAGGUGACCUUGGAGAAUAGCAGAAGAGAUGCGGGGAUUGCAGUGAAACCCCCGUUGACCAAAGGCAGAAAAAGGAGAAUGAAAUGAGAGAGGAAGGGGAAGUAGACAAUGGAUGUGGGGGCAUGACGUUGGUCAUUGAUAUUAUCAUGGCACUAAGGCUAUACAAAUGCAAAGAUAAAUA